RNAcentral lists this unclassified non-coding RNA (231 nucleotides) under plant metagenome. RNAcentral describes it as "partial contains small subunit ribosomal RNA, internal transcribed spacer 1, and 5.8S ribosomal RNA". The record is from RNAcentral.
UCUCCGUUGGUGAACCAGCAGAGGGAUCAUUACAGAGUUGCAAAACUCCCAAACCAUUGUGAACGUUACCUAUCCCGUUGCUUCGGCGGGCGGCCCGGGCCCCGCGCCCGGCGCCCCCCGGCCCCCCGUGGGCGCCCGCCGGAGGUAAACCAAACCCUUGGAUUGCAUGGCCUCUCUGAGUCUUCUGUACUGAAUAAGUCAAAACUUUCAACAACGGAUCUCUUGGUUCUG